Molecule: ribosomal RNA, 413 nt
Filed under: uncultured prokaryote
Description: bacterial SSU rRNA
Rfam family: Bacterial small subunit ribosomal RNA
Source: RNAcentral
GUGUCAGCCGCCGCGGUAAUACGAAGGGGGCUAGCGUUGUUCGGAAUCACUGGGCGUAAAGCGCACGUAGGCGGACUUUUAAGUCAGGGGUGAAAUCCCGGGGCUCAACCCUGGAACUGCCUUUGAUACUGGAAGUCUUGAGUCCGAGAGAGGUGAGUGGAAUUCCGAGUGUAGAGGUGAAAUUCGUAGAUAUUCGGAGGAACACCAGUGGCGAAGGCGGCUCACUGGCUCGGUACUGACGCUGAGGCGCGAAAGCGUGGGGAGCAAAUAGGAUUAGAUACCCUGGUAGUCCACGCCGUAAACGAUGAGGGCUAGUUGUCGGGCGGCUUGCCGUUCGGUGACGCAGCUAACGCAUUAAGCCCUCCGCCUGGGGAGUACGGUCGCAAGAUUAAAACUCAAAUGAAUUGACGGGG